RNAcentral lists this transfer RNA (73 nucleotides) under Parcubacteria group bacterium ADurb.Bin216. Its description in RNAcentral is "tRNA-Arg". It matches the Rfam family "tRNA". Rfam says of the family: Transfer RNA (tRNA) molecules are approximately 80 nucleotides in length. RNAcentral also lists the same sequence under 1 other name. The record is from RNAcentral.
GCCCCUAUAGCUCAACGGAUAGAGUGCCGGUCUUCGAAACCGAAGGUGGAAGUUCGAUUCUUCCUAGGGGCAC